RNAcentral lists this ribosomal RNA (926 nucleotides) under uncultured Bacteroidota bacterium. RNAcentral's name for it is "bacterial SSU rRNA". It matches the Rfam family "Bacterial small subunit ribosomal RNA", at positions 1 to 917 of the family's 1533-position model. Lineage: Bacteria; Pseudomonadati; Bacteroidota. The record is from RNAcentral.
UGGAUCCAGACCCUGAUCAUGGCUCAGGAUGAACGCUAGCUACAGGCUUAACACAUGCAAGUCGAGGGGAAACGACAUCGAAAGCUUGCUUUUGAUGGGCGUCGACCGGCGCACGGGUGAGUAACGCGUAUCCAACCUGCCCAUCACUUGGGGAUAACCUUGCGAAAGUAAGACUAAUACCCAAUGAUAUCUCUAGGAGACAUCUGAAAGGGAUUAAAGAUUUAUCGGUGAUGGAUGGGGAUGCGUCUGAUUAGCUUGUUGGCGGGGUAACGGCCCACCAAGGCGACGAUCAGUAGGGGUUCUGAGAGGAAGGUCCCCCACAUUGGAACUGAGACACGGUCCAAACUCCUACGGGAGGCAGCAGUGAGGAAUAUUGGUCAAUGGACGAGAGUCUGAACCAGCCAAGUAGCGUGCAGGAUGACGGCCCUAUGGGUUGUAAACUGCUUUUAUAAGGGAAUAAAGUGAGAGUCGUGACUCUUUUUGCAUGUACCUUAUGAAUAAGGACCGGCUAAUUCCGUGCCAGCAGCCGCGGUAAUACGGAAGGUCCGGGCGUUAUCCGGAUUUAUUGGGUUUAAAGGGAGCGUAGGCCGGAGAUUAAGCGUGUUGUGAAAUGUAGACGCUCAACGUCUGCACUGCAGCGCGAACUGGUUUCCUUGAGUACGCACAAAGUGGGCGGAAUUCGUGGUGUAGCGGUGAAAUGCUUAGAUAUCACGAAGAACUCCGAUUGCGAAGGCAGCUCACUGGAGCGCAACUGACGCUGAAGCUCGAAAGUGCGGGUAUCGAACAGGAUUAGAUACCCUGGUAGUCCGCACGGUAAACGAUGGAUGCCCGCUGUUGGUCUGAAUAGGUCAGCGGCCAAGCGAAAGCAUUAAGCAUCCCACCUGGGGAGUACGCCGGCAACGGUGCAACUCAAAGGAAUUGACGAA